CGUUUUUUUUGUUUUUUUCGGAGCACUGCUAUCGGGUUCCGACUAAGCCAUGCGAGUCAUGGGGUCGCAAGACACCGGCGCACGGCUCAGUAACACGCGGAUAAUCUAUCCUCUGGUGGGGGAUAACCUCGGGAAACUGAGGCUAAUACCCCAUAGAUAAUCAAUGCUGGAAGGCUUGGUUAUUGAAAGCGUAAGCGCCAGAGGGUGAGUCUGCGGCCUAUCAGGUAGUAGGUGGUGUAACGGACCACCUAGCCAAAGACGGGUACGGGCCUUGAGAGAGGGAGCCCGGAGAUGGGUUCUGAGACACGAACCCAGGCCCUACGGGGCGCAGCAGGCGCGAAACCUUCGCAUUGCGCGAAAGCGCGACGAGGGGAACCCGAGUGCCUCUCCAUUUCGGGGAGGCUUUUCACAAACCUAAAAAGUUUGUGGAAUAAGGGCUGGGCAAGACGGGUGCCAGCCGCCGCGGUAAUACCCGCAGCUCGAGUGGUGGUCGCUUUUAUUGAGCUUAAAACGUUCGUAGUCGGCCUUGUAAAUCCCUGGGUAAAUCGGGCCGCUUAACGGUUCGAAUUCCGGGGAGACUGCAAGGCUAGGGACCGGGCGAGGUUAGAGGUACUUUCGGGGUAGGAGUGAAAUCCUGUAAUCCCGAAGGGACCACCUGUGGCGAAAGCGUCUAACUUGAACGGCUCCGACGAUGAGGAACGAAGGCUAGGGGAGCAAACCGGAUUAGAUACCCGGGUAGUCCUAGCUGUAAACCCUGCCCGCUUGGUGUGGCUUGUCCUUUGGGGGCAGGCUGUGCCGGAGCGAAGGUGUUAAGCGGGCUGCUUGGGGAGUACGGCCGCAAGGUGAAACUAAAGAAUGCGGGGAGCACGCACCGAGACC
This 879-nucleotide ribosomal RNA is filed under the name Methanobacteriota archaeon. RNAcentral describes it as "bacterial SSU rRNA". It matches the Rfam family "Archaeal small subunit ribosomal RNA", at positions 1 to 886 of the family's 1478-position model. Lineage: Archaea; Methanobacteriati; Methanobacteriota. The record is from RNAcentral.